This 24-nucleotide non-coding RNA is filed under the name Arabidopsis thaliana (thale cress). Lineage: Eukaryota; Viridiplantae; Streptophyta; Magnoliopsida; Brassicales; Brassicaceae. The record is from RNAcentral.
CUGGGCAAGUCCAUGGGCGGCCUG